RNAcentral lists this ribosomal RNA (599 nucleotides) under Jianyunia sakaguchii. RNAcentral describes it as "eukaryotic LSU rRNA". It matches the Rfam family "Eukaryotic large subunit ribosomal RNA", at positions 47 to 663 of the family's 3401-position model. The record is from RNAcentral. Lineage: Eukaryota; Fungi; Basidiomycota; Agaricostilbomycetes; Agaricostilbales; Jianyuniaceae.
UAAGCGGAGGAAAAGAAACUAACAAGGAUUCCCCUAGUAACGGCGAGUGAAGUGGGAAAAGCUCAACUUUGUAAUCUGGCUCUUUCAGAGUCCGAGUUGUAGUCUAAAGAGGUCUUGCCUGGUUCGCACUUUGGAUAUGGUUGUUGGAAUGCAACGUCAAAGAGGGUGACAAUCCCGUCUGUGCCAAAUGUGUUGGAUCGUUGUGCAUGGCUUUCUAAGAGUCGAGUUGUUUGGGAAUGCAGCUCAAAUCGGGUGGUAAAUUCCAUCUAAAGCUAAAUAUUGGCGAGAGACCGAUAGCGAACAAGUACCGUGAGGGAAAGAUGAAAAGCACUUUGGAAAGAGAAUGAAACAGUAUGUGAAAUUGCUGGAAGGGAAACGAUUGAAGUUAGACUUGCGUUUGCGGUAUUCAACCUGUCUUUGACUGGUGUAUUUGCCGCUUGUGCAGGCCAGCAUCAGUUUUCGAGCGUGGAUAAGGGUAGAAGGAAUGUGGCAACUUCGGUUGUGUUAUAGCCUUUUGCUGGAUGCACGCUUGAAGACUGAGGACCGCGCUUUUGCUAGGAUGCUGGUAGAAUAGCUUUACCGACCCGUCUUGAAACACG